GUGGGGAAUCUUCCGCAAUGGACGAAAGUCUGACGGAGCGACGCCGCGUGAGUGAAGAAGGCCUUCGGGUCGUAAAGCUCUGUCAUCAGGGACGAACGGCCGGUGGAGUGGAAAGCCACCGGAUUGACGGUACCUGAGAAGGAAGCCACGGCUAACUACGUGCCAGCAGCCGCGGUAAUACGUAGGUGGCAAGCGUUGUCCGGCAUUAUUGGGCGUAAAGCGCGCGCAGGUGGGAUCUUAAGUCCAUUUUUAAAGUUCGGAGCUCAACUCCGUGAUGGGAUGGAAACUGGGAUUCUUGAGUACCGGAGAGGAAAGCGGAAUUCCCCGUGUAGCGGUGAAAUGCGUAGAUAUGGGGAGGAACACCAGUGGCGAAGGCGGCUUUCUGGACGGUGUCUGACACUGAGGCGCGAAAGCCAGGGGAGCGAACGGGAUUAGAAACCCUUGUAGUCC
RNAcentral lists this ribosomal RNA (450 nucleotides) under uncultured bacterium. RNAcentral's name for it is "partial 16S ribosomal RNA". It matches the Rfam family "Bacterial small subunit ribosomal RNA", at positions 354 to 796 of the family's 1533-position model. The record is from RNAcentral.